CAGUCGCCGCGGUAAUACGUAGGUGGCAAGCGUUGUCCGGAAUUAUUGGGCGUAAAGGGCCCGCAGGCGGUUUCUUAAGUCUGAUGUGAAAGCCCCCGGCUCAACCGGGGAGGGUCAUUGGAAACUGGGAAACUUGAGUGCAGGAGAGAAAAGUGGAAUUCCUAGUGUAGCGGUGAAAUGCGUAGAGAUUAGGAGGAACACCAGUGGCGAAGGCGGCUUUUUGGCCUGUAACUGACACUGAGGCGCGAAAGCGUGGGGAGCAAACAGGAUUAGAUACCCGGGUAGUCCCUGUCUCUUAUAC
RNAcentral lists this ribosomal RNA (301 nucleotides) under uncultured bacterium. RNAcentral describes it as "partial 16S ribosomal RNA". It matches the Rfam family "Bacterial small subunit ribosomal RNA", at positions 509 to 807 of the family's 1533-position model. The record is from RNAcentral.